CCGCCCCCUUCAUUCACACGGUAGCCGCCAGCCAGCCUCGGUUCUCCCUCUCCGCCUCUGCGCACCACCCGCCCCGGCUGCCUCGGUGAGAGACUACAGAAUGCAAGGGAAAUAGCGUUGGGUAGAGCUUUUUUGGAGUAAAGAAGAGUCCUACUUCUGAUACAUUCUUUUUGUGUCCCAGGCAGAUUUUUAAACCCAGUCUGAUGAAGCCUAAUACUUCUGUGGUUUGUAACCUACAUUCACUAUGGAAGGAAAUGAUAAAUUUCAAUAGAGAGAUUUCCCAAAGGAUAAAGUCUGCAUAAAGCUGCCUCUUUCCACAUCUCUUACCAUCUGACAGCACAUUUUCUGGGAUCUCACGUACAAGCUGUUUCCUAGGCAACCACCAUAUAGCCUGCAGAAGAGUCUGCAUGAAGAGGAAAGGGGGGGAGGGACUCUAUCAGAUUUUCACUCUUCCCCCAAUUUCCUGAGUUAAUAGCACUGCAGAUCUUUGACUUUGCAGUGGCAACACAAUCCUUAAAGGCUUAGCAAUAGGAUUGUCCUUCAACUCAAAUUAUUUUGCUGGUGGAGUCCAAAUAACAGCUCAUUUAGGAUUUUGUCUAUCACACCUCUUAGUCUGAUUAUAUUUAUAUUCACUAUCUAGCCUUCCUUUUCUUUUAGCCUCAGUCCAUAUGUUACAUUCCUCUCCCAGGUGCUAAGGGAGUUCUUUAUUAAGAUGAAACUGCCCUUCAAAGAGAUGCUGAGCCACAUCUUCCAUGAUCAGGGAGCACUGCAGAGGCCCCUUUCAUUAGCCUUAAGAGAAGAUGGCACCUAGAGUUGAAAGUGACUACCCAGUCACACAGAGGAGAGUACACACACACACACACAAAGGAUUUUUAAAGCAGGAAGGGACUCUAGAGGUCAUAGAGUUCAACCAUAAGAAUAUCUGAUGUCCAUAAACUAUUAAUUCUGUUGCAGAUCUGUUUGGUUAUUCUCCUUUAGUCUUGGGAAUGUCUUUGUAAAUAGCUGCUAGGUCUUAAAAAGGGAAGGCUUGUUUUUCCUAUGCUGCCGGGAAGAGUGUAUGAUAGUAUAACUCCUGCCCCAGAACUCAAGUUUUAGACUUGCAGGACCAAGGUUCAUUGUUGAGGCAGCUCUCCCCUACAUCAUAUCACUUUGCCUUGUUCCUCUUUCCCAAACCACCUAGUUUUUUAUCCACAGAUGUGAGUAGAAAAGUCACUAGUUCCCAUGCACACAAUGAAGGUAACGAUGUGUAAAUACUCCCCUCUAGAUUAUUCUACAACUUCCACUUCCACUCACAGGUUGGGUCCCCAGAAGGGGUGGCUGCUCUCUCAGAUUCUACAGAUAAUCCUAUGGAUAGCUUCUUCUAGCACCAUGGUUCAGGAGUCCCUAUCAGUGUGUUUCCUAUUAAUGAUAAGCCAGUAGACAUAACUAGCUUUUAGCAACAGCAUUAUCUUUAUGAAGCUAUGGUUGUCCAAGAACUACCCUUCUUCUUGAAGGCUGGGUCCUGGAUAUCUUUAGGGACUUGGCACUGCCCAGGAGAUUCCCCCUUUUCUAUCCAGGGGACUGGGCCAGUGACUACAUAUUUUUCUGAGGUUAUAUUAUUGAUGGGCCCCAUCACUGCCUCUUGUUGGCACCCCUUGAACAGCAUCAGUGAAAGCACCUGCAAUUGCAAUAUGCCUGUGUCUGUGCCUUUUCAAGGAUUUCGAAGCUUCUGGUGG
Molecule: long non-coding RNA, 1715 nt
Organism: Vombatus ursinus (common wombat)
Lineage: Eukaryota; Metazoa; Chordata; Mammalia; Diprotodontia; Vombatidae
Exons: 4
Source: RefSeq, a predicted model, not a curated record